GAAAUGAAAUGCAAAAAUGAAAUCCUUCAGCUUGGACUCAUUAACCAAACACCACGCUAUCUACGCAAAUAUUUCUCCCUAUUUGUUUGUUUAAAGCUGGCCAAGAGUCAGGCUGUGAGUUCCAGAAAUACUUUUCAAGAUAACAGAAAUGGGCAUCCGAAUCCAAAAGGAAUUCUGUAUUUAGAAAUUCUGGAAUACUACAGGCGGGGUGGCUCUGCUGUUAACUAUUUUCUGGUUGCUCUGAAUCUCCGUGGCUUUGGAAAGUGAGUCAUGACAUUCUUCAUUAUAGAAAUGUUUUUCCCAUUGUAGAUGAUUUUAAAAAAUACAUACCCCAGGGGAAUCUAAUAAUACAAUACCCAUCUCUAGUCACAUUGUUGCUUUCAAUAGGGCUUUGCUUGAGAGAGACUAAAUCAAGCCAUUUCCCACGGGCAGCACAGGGCAAGAGCUGUCAAGGCUCAGCACUCCCAGAGCCCACGUGCACUCGGUGCAGAAGCAGCACCCAGCCUAAUGCUUGGGACAGCAGGAACCGAGUGGUGCAUGUUGGUUUAUCAAGGCAGCCCUAAGACUGGCCUCCUGCUGCAGAGCAUGCUUGGGAACACCAGGCCUUCGCUAGAAGUUCACAUGAAUUCAAGCUUACAGGGAACUCAUGCAAAGUCCUGUGCCUUGACAGCCAGCAAUGCAGCUCUCACAGCACUGCACAAUUUUUCAUUACCCAGUGAGGGAACAGUUUGCAAACUUGCUUGUGGCCUUCUGCAUCCAGAUCAGGAGCAGUGCGUGCAGAGCUGCUGCAGAGCUGAGGAUGAACUUCCCAUGGUGAUGAAGAGGCACGAAGGAAUGUUUCUAAGUGCCCAGCUGCCUGCAUUCUUGUUCAGCACAUUCCUUAAAGACUGCUGAGAUGUAAUUGUAUUAGUAAUGAUAUGUUACAGUGCCUCGAGACCUGGAUAAAUAACUAAUGAGGCAUCUUAGUCAAAAUAAAAAAGAUUUUCCCUCCUGG
Meleagris gallopavo (turkey) is the source of this 994-nucleotide long non-coding RNA. RefSeq lists it as uncharacterized. NCBI's taxonomy places the organism in Eukaryota, Metazoa, Chordata, Aves, Galliformes, Phasianidae. The record is from RefSeq and is a predicted model, not a curated record.